Molecule: ribosomal RNA, 1402 nt
Filed under: Kocuria sp. IPC2-5
Lineage: Bacteria; Bacillati; Actinomycetota; Actinomycetes; Micrococcales; Micrococcaceae
Description: bacterial SSU rRNA
Rfam family: Bacterial small subunit ribosomal RNA
Source: RNAcentral
CAUGCAGUCGAACGAUGAUGCCCAUCUUGCUGGGCGGAUUCUAGGCGAACGGGUGAGUAAUACGUGAGUAACCUGCCCUUGACUCUGGGAUAAGCCUGGGAAACUGGGUCUAAUACUGGAUACUACCUCUUGCCGCAUGGUGGGUGGUGGAAAGGGUUUUACUGGUUUUGGAUGGGCUCACGGCCUAUCAGCUUGUUGGUGGGGUAAUGGCUCACCAAGGCGACGACGGGUAGCCGGCCUGAGAGGGUGACCGGCCACACUGGGACUGAGACACGGCCCAGACUCCUUACGGGAGGCAGCAGUGGGGAAUAUUGCACCAAUGGGCGGAAGCCUGAUGCAGCGACGCCGCGUGAGGGAUGACGGCCUUCGGGUUGUAAACCUCUUUCAGUAGGGAAGAAGCGAGAGUGACGGUACCUGCAGAAGAAGCGCCGGCUAACUACGUGCCAGCAGCCGCGGUAAUACGUAGGGCGCAAGCGUUGUCCGGAAUUAUUGGGCGUAAAGAGCUCGUAGGCGGUUUGUCGCGUCUGCUGUGAAAGCCCGGGGCUCAACCCCGGGUCUGCAGUGGGUACGGGCAGACUAGAGUGCAGUAGGGGAGACUGGAAUUCCUGGUGUAGCGGUGAAAUGCGCAGAUAUCAGGAGGAACACCGAUGGCGAAGGCAGGUCUCUGGGCUGUUACUGACGCUGAGGAGCGAAAGCAUGGGGAGCGAACAGGAUUAGAUACCCUGGUAGUCCAUGCCGUAAACGUUGGGCACUAGGUGUGGGGGACAUUCCACGUUUUCCGCGCCGUAGCUAACGCAUUAAGUGCCCCGCCUGGGGAGUACGGCCGCAAGGCUAAAACUCAAAGGAAUUGACGGGGGCCCGCACAAGCGGCGGAGCAUGCGGAUUAAUUCGAUGCAACGCGAAGAACCUUACCAAGGCUUGACAUUCACCGGACCGCCCCAGAGAUGGGGUUUCCCUUCGGGGCUGGUGGACAGGUGGUGCAUGGUUGUCGUCAGCUCGUGUCGUGAGAUGUUGGGUUAAGUCCCGCAACGAGCGCAACCCUCGUUCUAUGUUGCCAGCACGUGAUGGUGGGGACUCAUAGGAGACUGCCGGGGUCAACUCGGAGGAAGGUGGGGAUGACGUCAAAUCAUCAUGCCCCUUAUGUCUUGGGCUUCACGCAUGCUACAAUGGCCGGUACAAAGGGUUGCGAUACUGUGAGGUGGAGCUAAUCCCAAAAAGCCGGUCUCAGUUCGGAUUGAGGUCUGCAACUCGACCUCAUGAAGUCGGAGUCGCUAGUAAUCGCAGAUCAGCAACGCUGCGGUGAAUACGUUCCCGGGCCUUGUACACACCGCCCGUCAAGUCACGAAAGUUGGUAACACCCGAAGCCGGUGGUCACGUAACCCCGUUGUGGGAGGAGCCGUUG